CAAUAGCGUAUAUUAAAGUUGUUGCAGUUAAAAAGCUCGUAGUUGGACUUGUGGUGGUUCCUGUGGUCCAAUUUUGGUACUUUCGGGGACUGCCAUCUUUGGGUGGAUCCUGUGUGGCAUUAGGUUGUCGUGCAGGGGAUGCCCAUCGUUUACUGUGAAAAAAUUAGAGUGUUCAAAGCAGGCUUAUGCCGUUGAAUAUAUUAGCAUGGAAUAAUGAGAUAGGACCUUGGUACUAUUUUGUUGGUUUGCGCACCGAGGUAAUGAUUAAUAGGGACAGUUGUGGGUAUUCGUAUUCCAUUGUCAGAGGUGAAAUUCUUGGAUUUCUGGAAGACGAACUAAUGCGAAAGCAUUUACCAAGGAUGUUUUCAUUAA
This 372-nucleotide ribosomal RNA is filed under the name uncultured eukaryote. RNAcentral describes it as "partial 18S ribosomal RNA". It matches the Rfam family "Eukaryotic small subunit ribosomal RNA", at positions 592 to 976 of the family's 1831-position model. The record is from RNAcentral.